AACGAACGCUGGCGGCAUGCCUAACACAUGCAAGUCGAACGAGACCUUCGGGUCUAGUUGCGCACGGGUGCGUAACGCGUGGUAACCUGCCCUUAUUUUCGGAAUAACUCCCCGAAAGGGGUGCUAAUACCGGUUAAUGUCUUCUGACCAAAGAUUUAUCGCCUUUGUAUGGGCCCGCGUUGGAUUAGCUAGUUGGUAGGGUAAAAGCCUACCAAGGCGACGAUCCAUAGCUGGUCUGAGAGGAUGAUCAGCCACAAUGGGACUGAGACACGGCCCAGACUCGUACGGGAGGCAGCAGUGGGGAAUAUUGGAAAAUGGGCGAAAGCCUGAUACAGCAAUGACGGGUGAGUGAUGAAGGCGUUAGGGUUGUAAAGCUCUUUUACCCGGGAUGAUAAUGACAGUACCGGGAGAAUAAGCACCGGCUAACUACGUG
This 433-nucleotide ribosomal RNA is filed under the name uncultured bacterium. RNAcentral describes it as "partial 16S ribosomal RNA". It matches the Rfam family "Bacterial small subunit ribosomal RNA", at positions 29 to 507 of the family's 1533-position model. The record is from RNAcentral.